Molecule: non-coding RNA, 134 nt
Filed under: Xanthobacter autotrophicus
Lineage: Bacteria; Pseudomonadati; Pseudomonadota; Alphaproteobacteria; Hyphomicrobiales; Xanthobacteraceae
Also listed under: 1 other name
Description: TPP sequence
Rfam family: TPP riboswitch aptamer (THI element)
About the family: Vitamin B(1) in its active form thiamin pyrophosphate (TPP) is an essential coenzyme that is synthesised by coupling of pyrimidine and thiazole moieties in bacteria.
Source: RNAcentral
GAACGUUCCAAGGGGGGUCCCGGAAGGGGCUGAGAUUUCGCAAGUCCGUUGGCCUUCAAGGUUUUCGGUGCCGCGUUGACCCUUCGAACCUGAUCCGGGUCAUACCGGCGAAGGGAUCGGAACCCGUGCGCACG